CGCGGGAUAGCGUAACGGUAGCGCGCUGGUCUCAUAAGCCAGAGGACGAGGUUCAAUUCCUCACUCGCAACCA
Molecule: transfer RNA, 73 nt
Filed under: Pusillimonas sp. SM2304
Lineage: Bacteria; Pseudomonadati; Pseudomonadota; Betaproteobacteria; Burkholderiales; Alcaligenaceae
Also listed under: 1 other name
Description: tRNA-Met
Rfam family: tRNA
About the family: Transfer RNA (tRNA) molecules are approximately 80 nucleotides in length.
Source: RNAcentral